This 85-nucleotide transfer RNA is filed under the name Fusibacter sp. A1. RNAcentral describes it as "tRNA-Tyr". It matches the Rfam family "tRNA". From Rfam's summary of the family: Transfer RNA (tRNA) molecules are approximately 80 nucleotides in length. Their secondary structure includes four short double-helical elements and three loops (D, anti-codon, and T loops). Further hydrogen bonds mediate the characteristic L-shaped molecular structure. tRNAs have two regions of fundamental functional importance: the anti-codon, which is responsible for specific mRNA codon recognition, and the 3' end, to which the tRNAs corresponding amino acid is attached (by aminoacyl-tRNA synthetases). tRNAs cope with the degeneracy of the genetic code in two manners: having more than one tRNA (with a specific anti-codon) for a particular amino acid; and 'wobble' base-pairing, i.e. permitting non-standard base-pairing at the 3rd anti-codon position. RNAcentral also lists the same sequence under 1 other name. Lineage: Bacteria; Bacillati; Bacillota; Clostridia; Eubacteriales; Fusibacteraceae. The record is from RNAcentral.
GGAGGAGUUCCCGAGUGGCCAAAGGGGACGGACUGUAAAUCCGUUAGCAGAGCUUUCGCUGGUUCGAAUCCAGCUUCCUCCACCA